Molecule: long non-coding RNA, 551 nt
Organism: Aedes aegypti (yellow fever mosquito)
Lineage: Eukaryota; Metazoa; Arthropoda; Insecta; Diptera; Culicidae
Exons: 2
Source: RefSeq, a predicted model, not a curated record
UGUUUUUCCGUGAGAUGCUUUCAAAUUGAUAGCUAUAUCGUAUGAAAUGAUCAAAUUAGACCAAAUACCUUUUAUCUUGAAAAUAUAUCGGUGGCGCAUUUUACACCUAGUUCCCCUAGAAUCAAAACACGCGAUUUGUACUCAGAGCAUUCGAAACGGCUGACAAUCGGAUCGGCUUGCUGUGUGUUUGCUUGGGUGUAGAGCGCGCGCCAACAAAGAUAUACAUUCAUGCCAGCCAAAACAUAGUCACCAGUGUGAAAAUCUGUUUCGUGCAGUGAAGAAAACAACCGAACUGUUUCAGUAGUGUCUCGACAACUUAUAGUGUGCCGCCUACUUGGAUAGACUAGUGAAGAAGAUAAUUGCCACCCAUCACCAUAUCGUCCGUCCUCAACGCGCGUGAAUCGUGACACAGCGCGUGAAUAAUUCUAAAAUUUGUGAUUCGGUGACAAAACAGUGCCUACUCAGUGAAGAGAAGAAGUUGUACAAAAUUCCGUGAACCAAAAGCAAAUCCGUCCAGUGAAAACUCCCAUUCGCAGUGGAAGCCAGUAAGA